Molecule: ribosomal RNA, 426 nt
Filed under: uncultured bacterium
Lineage: Bacteria
Description: bacterial SSU rRNA
Rfam family: Bacterial small subunit ribosomal RNA
Source: RNAcentral
GUGAGGAAUUUUCCGCAAUGGGCGAAAGCCUGACGGAGCAAUGUCGCGUGAAGGAUGAAGGCCUAUGGGUUGUAAACUUCUUUUCUCAGAAAAGAAUUAUGACGGUAUCUGAGGAAUAAGCAUCGGCUAACUCUGUGCCAGCAGCCGCGGUAAGACAGAGGAUGCAAGCGUUAUCCGGAAUGAUUGGGCGUAAAGCGUCUGUAGGUUGUUUAAAAAGUAUUCUGUCAAAGAUUAGGGCUUAACCCUAGAUAGGCAGAAUAAACUUUUAAGCUAGAGUUUGGUAGAGGCAGAGGGAAUUCCCGGUGGAGCGGUGAAAUGCGUAGAUAUCGGGAGGAACACCAAAGGCGAAGGCACUCUGCUGGGCCAAUACUAACACUGAGAGACGAAAGCGAGGGGAGCAAAUGGGAUUAGAAACCCGUGUAGUCC